RNAcentral lists this long non-coding RNA (1235 nucleotides) under Homo sapiens (human). RNAcentral's name for it is "HSALNT0179387". The record is from RNAcentral. Lineage: Eukaryota; Metazoa; Chordata; Mammalia; Primates; Hominidae.
CUUUCUUUUCUAUAACUGUAUGUAAUUUCUGUUUUGAGCUAUCAUCCUAUCUGGUGGUAAGUCAAAACAGAGCUAAAACAGAGCAUGUCCAUUUGGUCAUGUCUGCUUUUCCCAAGAGGUGCUUCUAAGUGUUAAGUGAGAGUCGAUAGUGCAUUUGAUCUAUGAGUUUAUGUCCCUGAGCUGGAAUCUGUUGAGAUGUCCAGUGGUUCUUUGGGCCCUCAAUUGCCUGCCCACUCAGGUUUCUAAAUUAUUCUCCAUUCAUAUCUGAAAUCUCCUUUAGAGCCUGUGGGUUUCAUUCCUACAUCUGUGCCAGUUUUGAUCUCUCAGGAAUGAUUCAGCAAGUUCAGUGGUGCACUGAGUUACAGGCAGGAAACUGGGAGGCUCUCUAAAGGCAUACUUGCCUACACAUAACAGGCCAUCCUUUCUUCUCAUACGUCUCCCUAGCUUCCUGGGCACAAGGAACAUCAUUCCUUCUCAUGCAUGGUCUGCAGUGAUGGGAACUGAAUGCACCAGCAGCAGCCAUAUGAGCUUGGAGGCAGAUCCUGCUCCAAUUGAGACUCAGCUGAGACUGCAGCCCCAGUUGACACCUUGAUUGCAGCUUCAUAAGAUCCUGAAUCAGGGAAUCCAUCUCAGCUGUGCCUAGACUCCUAACCCGUAGAAAUGCGAAAGGAAGAGCAAGCUACUCUCACCUGGGAGGUCCAGCUGGUGAAGACCACAAGAGACUGUCUCCAGUGGGUGAGGUGUUCUCCCUCCAAGGCUUUUACUAUUCACCCUCGUCUCUCACAAAUGCCCCAGAUCAGGCUGGCCGGGCCACUACCUCACUGAUCUCUAUAUGUUCAGCAUUUUCUGUCUCUCCCAGCCCUUGCCAGAGCUUCUCCUGCUUCCUGAUGUCCCACCUCAUCCUGCCUAUUCUCUCCAGUCCCAGUUCUGAAUUGCUAUUUUCUGAAUGCUGUGUCCCCCUCAAAUCUGUAGGUUGAAACCUAUUCACCAAGUGAUGGUGCCAGGUGGCGGGGCCUUUGGGAAGUGACUAGGUUACAGGGCAGAGCCCUCAUGAAUGGGACUCAUACCCUUAGGAAAGAGCCUUGAGGGAGCUCAUUUACUGCUUCCACAUGUGUGGUCACAGAAAGAGGCAUCAUCUAUGAACAAGAAUACAGGCCCUCACCAGACACCAAAUCUGCUGGUUUCUUGAUCUUGGACUUCCCAACCUCUGGAGCUGUGAGGAAUAAAUUUCUGUU